GGUGAGUAACACGUGGAUAACCUACCUAUAGGACUGGGAUAACUUCGGGAAACCGGAGCUAAUACCGGAUAAUAUUUUGAACCGCAUGGUUCAAAAGUGAAAGACGGUCUUGCUGUCACUUAUAGAUGGAUCCGCGCUGCAUUAGCUAGUUGGUAAGGUAACGGCUUACCAAGGCAACGAUGCAUAGCCGACCUGAGAGGGUGAUCGGCCACACUGGAACUGAGACACGGUCCAG
Molecule: ribosomal RNA, 235 nt
Filed under: uncultured Staphylococcus sp.
Lineage: Bacteria; Bacillati; Bacillota; Bacilli; Caryophanales; Staphylococcaceae
Description: partial 16S ribosomal RNA
Rfam family: Bacterial small subunit ribosomal RNA
Source: RNAcentral